UUCGAAAAAAAAAAGCUUCUCAUGCUAGAAAAUAGAAAUUGUUUGAAGUCAGGCUGUGAAAGAGACCGCAAUUGCACCCAUUGGUUAGAAAUUUCAUGUAAAACCGCAGAGCACAAGAGAGAGAGGAUCAGGAAGGACAAGGUUUCUUGGCACCUACCAACUCUUUUGCCCGAUCGAUCACGAGCCAUAAAAGCUCGAAUUUAAGGUUCAUUGUUCUGUGCAAGUAUAAUAAAAAAAUCUGAGGUGUAUUGGGCUGUUGCUCUCUUGAUUGAAUUUGAAGUUAAAAGUGCGUGAUUGCAUUUGAAACUUCAUCAGUCUUGGAAGGUUAAGCAGAACAUUUGAGAAUUGGGUUUUUGAAUUCUGAUUGAAUAGAAUAAAUUUUGGGGCUUUGAUUGCAUAUAAAUAUUACAACUGAAAAAUAAAUGGUUGAAAUGCUCUGAGCUUAGUAUUGGAUUUCAGUUUCUAGGGGGAGGGAGUGGUGUCUUGAAGGUUCUGUUUUGUGGAUUUCAUUUCUAUGCAUUUGUUGUAAGGAAAAGAUGUAUAGCAAUUUUAAGGAGCAUGCAAUAGCGUAUGUGAAGCAAGCAGUUCAAGAAGAUGACGCUGGAAACUAUAGUAAGGCAUUUCCCCUCUAUAUGAAUGCAUUAGAGUACUUCAGGACCCAUUUGAAGUACGAGAAGAAUCCGAAGAUAAAGGAAGCGAUUACUCAGAAAUUUAUGGAAUAUUUGAGGAGGGCAGAGGAGCUAAGGGCCAUUCUUGAUUGUGGAGGAAAUGGGCCUAAUGGUGAUGCAGCAGCUGCUACGCAACCAAGGACAAAGUCAAAGGGUGGAGAAGGGAAAGAAGGGAACGAUCCGGAGCAAGCAAAGCUCAGGGCUGGCCUUGAUUCUGCGAUAAUUAGGGAGAAACCGAAUGUGAAGUGGAGUGAUGUGGCUGGUCUUGAGAGUGCCAAACAGGCAUUGCAAGAGGCUGUCAUACUGCCUGUUAAGUUUCCCCAGUUUUUUACUGGGAAGAGACGACCAUGGAGGGCUUUUCUACUUUAUGGUCCACCUGGAACAGGGAAGUCCUAUUUAGCAAAGGCCGUUGCAACAGAAGCAGACUCAACUUUCUUCAGUGUUUCUUCAUCAGACCUUGUUUCAAAAUGGAUGGGCGAAAGUGAAAAGCUAGUCUCAAAUCUUUUCCAAAUGGCUCGUGAUAGUGCUCCUUCCAUAAUCUUCAUCGAUGAAAUUGAUUCCUUAUGUGGCCAACGGGGUGAAGGCAAUGAGAGUGAAGCAUCUCGACGUAUCAAAACAGAAUUGCUUGUACAGAUGCAGGGUGUAGGCCGUGGUGAUGAGAAAGUUCUGGUUCUUGCAGCAACAAAUACACCUUACGCUUUGGAUCAGGCCAUCCGGCGUCGUUUUGAUAAGCGAAUAUAUAUCCCUCUCCCAGAUUUGAAGGCAAGGCAGCACAUGUUUAAGGUGCAUCUUGGGGACACUCCUCAUAACUUAACUGAAAGUGAUUUUGAGCAUUUGGCCUACAAAACAGAAGGGUUUUCAGGUUCAGAUAUAUCAGUUUGUGUUAAGGAUGUUCUAUUUGAACCUGUUCGUAAAACCAGUGAUGCUAAAUUCUUCACAAAUACCUCUAAUGGCAUGUGGAUCCCUUGUGAACCUACUCAACCAGGAGCUGUUCAGAUUACCUUGCUGGAACUUGAUGCCCAAGGCCUAGCUUCAAAGAUCCAGCCACCACCAAUCACAAGAACAGAUUUUGAUAAAGUGCUCACUAGACAGAAGCCAACUGUAAGUAAAGCGGACCUUGAGGUGCAUGAGAGAUUCACUAAGGAGUUUGGGGAGGAAGGCUGAUUGCUUUAAAAAGUUGAAAAAGGACUGAUUAACUAUUGGUACAGGGAUAUGGAUUGGAUAAACGAAAAUUUCAGCACUGUUAUGCGCAUUGUUAAAGGGCAGCAGUUGGACACAUCCUAUUUGGUCCUAAAUUGGCCCGUUUCUAUCUCGCUCCGUUAGCCGCCAGUGACUUAAGUGGCUUUCUGGAUACCGCAAUUGACGGGUUGAAGGUGUCAUCGUUUUACGUGAACGAGUAGCCCAUGUUAUCAACUUCAGUACGACUUGUUUUGGACCGUCGUUCUCUUGCUUGAUCGGUUUUAGAAAGGAAGUAAAGGAUUGACGUUGAGCAAGUGUUCCGCCUUGGAAGACCCGUGAAGGAUCUCAAGACUAUACAAAAAAUGAUAAUCUUCCUUUGGCUGCAGGUACAUCAGAUGUGGAUGAUGACCUCGUAGCGUUGUACAUGGGAUAUUACGACCGAAGCUCGACGCGACAGUUGUAAUGUAUUGGACCAUGGGAUGUCCAUUCUUUUGUAUAUUUUGUAUAUGGAAUGUAAUAGCCAUUCUUUUCA
This is an RNA transcript of Alnus glutinosa, 2379 nucleotides long. It is a transcript of the gene named protein SUPPRESSOR OF K(+) TRANSPORT GROWTH DEFECT 1-like, with no coding region annotated. The transcript has 11 exons. The record is from RefSeq and is a predicted model, not a curated record. NCBI's taxonomy places the organism in Eukaryota, Viridiplantae, Streptophyta, Magnoliopsida, Fagales, Betulaceae.